Molecule: transfer RNA, 58 nt
Filed under: Manacus vitellinus (golden-collared manakin)
Lineage: Eukaryota; Metazoa; Chordata; Aves; Passeriformes; Pipridae
Rfam family: tRNA
About the family: Transfer RNA (tRNA) molecules are approximately 80 nucleotides in length. Their secondary structure includes four short double-helical elements and three loops (D, anti-codon, and T loops). Further hydrogen bonds mediate the characteristic L-shaped molecular structure. tRNAs have two regions of fundamental functional importance: the anti-codon, which is responsible for specific mRNA codon recognition, and the 3' end, to which the tRNAs corresponding amino acid is attached (by aminoacyl-tRNA synthetases). tRNAs cope with the degeneracy of the genetic code in two manners: having more than one tRNA (with a specific anti-codon) for a particular amino acid; and 'wobble' base-pairing, i.e. permitting non-standard base-pairing at the 3rd anti-codon position.
Source: Rfam by way of RNAcentral
UAACUCAGUUGGUUAGAGCAUGGUGCUAAUAACACCAAGGUUGUGGGUUCAAUCCCUC